Pelobates cultripes (western spadefoot toad) is the source of this 205-nucleotide non-coding RNA. NCBI's taxonomy places the organism in Eukaryota, Metazoa, Chordata, Amphibia, Anura, Pelobatidae. The record is from the annotation of a GenBank genome assembly.
CGCGUAUCCAAAAAUGUUAAUUUGAGGUCUAAGUGCAUACCAGAACAGUUUUCUUCUGAUCCAUCAGCCAUCUGGAAGGUAAAUAGUUAACACUAACUGGUAAAUAUAUCAGAAAGAGAUGGUAAAUGAUAAAACUGAUAAAACGGGCAACUGAUAAAAGGAGAUCAUGACAGUUAGUGCUGCAAGGGGAGAAGCACAUCACAAG